GGAAAGUCAGAGUCAGCAAAGAUGUCACAAUGCAAGCCAAGGGAGAGGGGAGAUGUGACCAGAGGAGCAUGGCUGAUGGGCUUUGGUGAUGGAGGAAAGUGACACAAUCCAUGGAGUGCAGGUGGCCUCUAGAAACUGGUAAUGGAAAGGAGGUAGAUUUUCACAUAGAUCUUCCAGGAAGAACGCAGCUGUGCUAACACCUUGAUUGUUGACAGGAAGACCCAUAUCAGAUUUCUGACUUCCAGAACUGCAAGAUAAUUCCCUUGUGAUGUUCAAAGCCAGUAAUGUUGUAAUAAUGUGUUACAUCAGCAAUGGAAAGUAAUAAACUCUUCUUGUCACCAACUUGCCAGCAGUGCUGCUUCUCUCCAGCAGCAGAGGCUGUCCUUGAUGGAAGAAACACUCAUGACAAUCUGUAA
This 416-nucleotide long non-coding RNA is filed under the name Mustela putorius furo (domestic ferret). RNAcentral's name for it is "lncRNA (ENSMPUG00000026625.1)". The record is from RNAcentral. Lineage: Eukaryota; Metazoa; Chordata; Mammalia; Carnivora; Mustelidae.